GAAAUGCGAUAAGUAAUGUGAAUUGCAGAAUUCAGUGAAUCAUCGAAUCUUUGAACGCACAUUGCGCCCUUUGGUAUUCCGAAGGGCAUGCCUGUUCGAGCGUCAUUACACACCUCAAGCUCUGCUUGGUAUUGGGCCCUCGUCCGUCAGGGACGGGCCUCAAAAUCCUCGGCGGCGGUGCCCGGCUUUGAGCGUAUGGGGACUUUUGUCACACGUUUGCGGUGCGGACCGGCGCCUGCUUGACUUUUCUGAUUAUCCAGGUUGACCUCGGAUCAGGUAGGGAUACCCGCUGAACUUAAGC
This 301-nucleotide unclassified non-coding RNA is filed under the name plant metagenome. RNAcentral describes it as "partial contains 5.8S ribosomal RNA, internal transcribed spacer 2, and large subunit ribosomal RNA". The stretch from base 1 to 105 matches the Rfam family "5.8S ribosomal RNA", at positions 50 to 154 of the family's 154-position model. The record is from RNAcentral.